ACCUUUCGGGAUCAAUCUUGGCUGCAAAGUCCGCCUUUUCCUUGACCACGGAUGUACUGGCAUUGAAGCGAAGCGGAUGAUGAAGGCCGGUUUAUCCGACCUUUGUUUUU
Rhizobium yanglingense is the source of this 110-nucleotide non-coding RNA. NCBI's taxonomy places the organism in Bacteria, Pseudomonadati, Pseudomonadota, Alphaproteobacteria, Hyphomicrobiales, Rhizobiaceae. The record is from Rfam.